RNAcentral lists this long non-coding RNA (962 nucleotides) under Homo sapiens (human). Its description in RNAcentral is "HSALNT0179766". Lineage: Eukaryota; Metazoa; Chordata; Mammalia; Primates; Hominidae. The record is from RNAcentral.
GUCCUUUGGUUAGUGAUGAUGAUGUAUUCCCACUGUCUCCCCCAGAUAUGUCCUUCCCAGCAUCUUUGGCUGCACAGCAUUUCCUUCUGGAAGAAGAGAAACGAGCAAAAGAACUUGAAAAACUUCUAAAUACACAUAUUGAUGAACUGCAAAGACACACAGAAUUUACUCUUAAUAAAUACUCCAAGCUAAAACAAAAUAGACACAUAUGAGCUUUUAAACUUUUUUAUUUGCUUCCCCCCCCCACCCCCGCCAAGAAAAAAAGCUCUGGCAAAAUAUUUACAAAGCUGAUUAAUGAAACCAAGAAAUUCUGUUCUGUUUCCUUGAGUAAAUAAUUUCCGUAAGGCAGCUAGAAAAUAGUAAGUAUUUUGUUCUAUAAAGCUGUUCACAUUUCUGCAUUAACAUGCUAAAUUGUCCUGCUGUAGAGUUACUAUAAAAUAAACAUGACUAUUCCAAAAGAGAUUUUUUUCCAGUCUAAGGAAUAUUUUGGAAUCAAAUAUGCAGUUUUUUUUCCCCACUUGAAUCAUGUAUACUGAAAACCCAUUUCCUCAGCAACUACACAAAAUAAGAGAAAGGGAAGUGCUAUAUUCCAGAUACAAAUGACUCAAAGGCAGCUCAGUUGUACUGGUUUUGAAAACUCAAGGAUUUUAUAAAUAAAAAUAUUUAAGUAUUUCCAGUUAUGUAAACACUCUAAAAUUCUAUAAUUUUUUGGAAAAAAAAAGCUAUAGCUUUAUUGUUUUUACAUUCACCUUUAUAAUGUCUGUCUGUUUCAACACAAUGAAGGUAUAUGGAAUGUGCAAUUUACAAACCUAAAAUAUAUGUGCCAAAAAUUAACGCUUUUUUGUUAGUACUAAUUACUUCAUGGACACAAACAAGAUAAAGGAAAUAUAAAGCAUUACUGUUGCUACAUUUUCCUUUGUAAUCACUUCUGUUUUUAAUACAAUAAAGGAAUGUAAAAUUCA